UGAAAACACAUGUCAGUUGUUUACUAGGUGUGAACAAGGCAUAGACAUUUCCUUAGGCUUGACAGGAAGUAUGAUCAUGUUGCCUGGAAGACUUAAUGUGGUCUAUGGAUCUUCUACAAAAUAGAUGAGCAGUUCACAGCCCAGAGAUGGGAGCAGGUGAUGAGCAAGAGACAGCACUGCAGACAAUCAAUCCCCUGGGAAGAAGGGCUCAGAGGCCUCCGGCAAUGGGAAACACCCACAACUCUGCUCUUCCCAAGGACCUCUUUGAUGAAAAUGAAACAUUUCCAAACAACCUUUCAUCAUAACUGGCAUUGCCAUGGGAAAUGUGAGAUAAUACCUGAUCCAACCCUUGUGAAAUCUCUCCCAAGCUACCAGCCUAAUUUCUUUUUCUUUUUUUUUAAAGAAGAGCUUUUAAGAUCUGGUGAUAUUUUCCUUGUAAUUUCAUGUAAACUGUACUUGUGGUACAGGAAGUGCUUCAGUCCAACUGUAUCUGCCAAUAAGGAUUUGCAAAAGUGUGUGAGAUGGAAAUGCAGAGAAGAUUGUUGUACAUUUUGUUGAGUUGAACCCAAGAGUCAAUUUUCUUUCCCUGAAAGAAAAAUUUGUCGGUAGCCCUUGCCUGCUGAUGUUCUUCCUGCAAGAAAACGCAGCUGAAUUUAUGAAUAUGAGAAGAUUAAAAAAAAUAACCAAUAGGGCACAUUCGAUGAAACCAGCCACAUGCAAAAGAGGCUUUAAGUCAUUUCUAGGAAUGCUUGGAAAGGGGCCUCAAAUGUGAAAAUCAUAAAAAAAAAUUAAUCCUUACAACUUGGCUGCU
RNAcentral lists this long non-coding RNA (811 nucleotides) under Monodelphis domestica (gray short-tailed opossum). RNAcentral's name for it is "lncRNA (ENSMODG00000033846.2)". The record is from RNAcentral. Lineage: Eukaryota; Metazoa; Chordata; Mammalia; Didelphimorphia; Didelphidae.